UAGGGAAUCUUCGGCAAUGGGGGGAACCCUGACCGAGCAACGCCGCGUGAGUGAAGAAGGUUUUCGGAUCGUAAAGCUCUGUUGUUAAGGAAGAACGAGUGUGAGAAUGGAAAGUUCAUACUGUGACGGUACUUAACCAGAAAGGGACGGCUAACUACGUGCCAGCAGCCGCGGUAAUACGUAGGUCCCGAGCGUUGUCCGGAUUUAUUGGGCGUAAAGCGAGCGCAGGCGGUUAGAAAAGUCUGAAGUGAAAGGCAGUGGCUCAACCAUUGUAGGCUUUGGAAACUGUUUAACUUGAGUGCAGAAGGGGAGAGUGGAAUUCCAUGUGUAGCGGUGAAAUGCGUAGAUAUAUGGAGGAACACCGGUGGCGAAAGCGGCUCUCUGGUCUGUAACUGACGCUGAGGCUCGAAAGCGUGGGGAGCGAACAGGAUUAGAUACCCUGGUAGUCCACGCCGUAAACGAUGAGUGCUAGGUGUUAGGUCCUUUCCGGGACUUAGUGCCGCAGCUAACGCAUUAAGCACUCCGCCUGGGGAGUACGGCCGCAAGGUUG
Molecule: ribosomal RNA, 550 nt
Filed under: uncultured bacterium
Lineage: Bacteria
Description: bacterial SSU rRNA
Rfam family: Bacterial small subunit ribosomal RNA
Source: RNAcentral